Molecule: ribosomal RNA, 406 nt
Filed under: uncultured bacterium
Lineage: Bacteria
Description: partial 16S ribosomal RNA
Rfam family: Bacterial small subunit ribosomal RNA
Source: RNAcentral
AUUGAACGCUGGCGGCAGGCUUAACACAUGCAAGUCGAACGAGUGGCGGACGGGUGAGUAAUGUAUGGGAAACUGCCCGAUGGCGGGGGAAAACUACUGGAAACGGUAGCUAAUACCGCAUACCAUCGGAUGUGCCCAGAUGGGAUUAGCUAGUAGGUGGGGUAACGGCUCACCUAGGCGACGAUCCCUAGCUGGUCUGAGAGGAUGACCAGACACACUGGAACUGAGACACGGCCCAGACUCCGACGGUGGGCAGCAGUGGGGAAUAUUGGACAAUGGGGGAAAGCCUGAUGCAGCCAUGCCGCGUGUAUGAGGAAGGCCUUCGGUUUGUAAAGCACUUUAAGCUGGGAGGCGGUACCAGCAGAAUAAGCACCGGCUAACUUCGUGCCAGCAGCCGCGGUAAUUC